GGGGCGCGGGGGCGGGGGGGAUUGUAUGAUUGUUUCAGUUUGCUUUGCUGAUUCAGUAAGUUUCAGCAAAAACCGAUAAAGGAUGUAUCAGUGUUUGGCCUUUUUUGGUGCAGUGCCUAAGAGAGAGAGUAUGUCUCCAGUAAGCUUCAGUAAGUUAGCUUUGCUAUUUUACAUCUGCUUGUUGCUAAAAGAAUUAGAUUGGUAAAUGAAGUUGGUAUGGGCAAGGGAGCUAGCCAAGUUUGAACCAAAACCACGAUAAGUCCAUUUAGAGAGAUGCAAUUCUUUUAGGAGGAUGAUGGCAUACCUGCUUCACUCCACUUUGCAUUUUAUACAGGCGGAUGGCAUCCCAUCGGGUCUCACUAACAUGAUCUAUCGUGUUAGCUUCCUUUUCCCUUUUAGCUUGGUCUUUUGUUCGAUACGUGCGAGGCUGCGAAUUAAGAAUAGAGCAGCUCCUAAAGAUGACACAACUCUUCCAUCUUCUUUUUAUGUGGGAUCCACUUUUUAGCUGAUGCAAAAGUCAGUUUGUUAGCUGUUCUAAUAUCUUUCUAAGCUGGUUGAUUCUGGUGGUGAUUAUUUGUACGGCGAAAUUGAUGAAGAUGGUAUUAUUUCAAGCGAUGGUGUUAGUUUCUGUUUUUCUCUUCAUUUGAAUCAGUGUUUAUGUGUUGGGUGGUAAACUGGUGUUGUGUUUCUUUUCUUUUCAGACUUUCUUGAAUUCAAAGAAAGACAAAGCCCUGAAUGAUCCAUUAUUUGGCUUCUGUUUUAAUCUUGAUUUUUGUAUCUAGGUGUUUAGUUUUCUGCAUAUAGUGUCAGGUUCUAGGAUCUGCAGGCCAUGGAAGCUUUGUUCGAGCGCACGUGAGGAGAGAUGUUGAAGCCGCCAUGAGAUGAAGGUGUGCCAGGUGAGAUGCCAAUGUGCUGGUGCUGUGCGAUGCAGCAACGUGAGAUGCGGCCGGCAACGUGCGUGGAAGACUUGGAGGUGAUGGCCUGCAUAGUGUACCGAGUGAUUCGGUUGUGGUGCUUGUGCAUGAGUUUGUUAGAUGCAUGAAGUAGUUGGCCAAGUCCUGUGCCGUUGCCUAGUUGGAGAGAUUCCAGGAAGGAAGGAGGCGUGGGACGUGGGCUUUGUUAGGGGCAUGAGACCCGGUAGGGAUUAGUUAGUUUUCUAACGUGUGCAUGGCUAUUUAAGGCAUUGUAAUAGGCUUGUUAUGGUAACAGAAGGAGAAUAGAAAGAGGAGAAAACGUUGGUCCUGUGAGAGGCAGGCCGAACCCAAAAUCUUGCCUUCCUUCUGUUCGUGGUGUUGCCAAGAAACGAGAGAGAGGGAGCUGCAGCGACAGAGAAGAAGAACUGGAGUUGCAGAUUCCUGCUGCGGCAGAAAACCAGGCUGGAGCUGCGUGAGGCAGCUUGACGAGGAAGAAGAGGAGCAGUGCCGGUCUGCUCCAACAGCUUCUUCAGGCAUGAUCUAAGGCCGUAAAAUCUCUAAAAAGGAACUGCAGCACUUCUUGCAGGGAUAGGAAUUUCAGUUAUCAGCAUGAAAAGCACAGGGUUCUUGGGAUUGGCAGGUCUGCCUUUAGCAGAUUUGACAUGAAAUAUUCCUCUAAGGUGCUGAAAAACUUGACAGCUCAUGAAAGGAGUGGCCAUGAGCUUCCCCUUCAUGUUGUACAGAAUCAGAUUGCAUGCUUUCAGAGUUGUUGGUUUCUUGAAUUUUUUCAGAUUGUUAUGUUGUUUCCAUGAAUUCUUGAACAACCUGCAAAAAGGGUUUUAUAAGACCUUGUAUAUUCUGUGUUCUCGUUUGCCUUUUUUCGGGUUUUCCUUGUAAACUCCUGGGCUGUCUUUCACGACCCUCUUCGGCAAUAAAUGGAUUGUUAUAUCU
Molecule: long non-coding RNA, 1865 nt
Organism: Brachypodium distachyon (stiff brome)
Lineage: Eukaryota; Viridiplantae; Streptophyta; Magnoliopsida; Poales; Poaceae
Exons: 3
Source: RefSeq, a predicted model, not a curated record